This 450-nucleotide ribosomal RNA is filed under the name uncultured bacterium. Its description in RNAcentral is "partial 16S ribosomal RNA". It matches the Rfam family "Bacterial small subunit ribosomal RNA", at positions 354 to 796 of the family's 1533-position model. The record is from RNAcentral.
GUGGGGAAUCUUCCGCAAUGGACGAAAGUCUGACGGAGCGACGCCGCGUGAGUGAAGAAGGCCUUCGGGUCGUAAAGCUCUGUCAUCAGGGACGAACGGCCGGUGGAGUGGAAAGCCACCGGAUUGACGGUACCUGAGAAGGAGGCCACGGCUAACUACGUGCCAGCAGCCGCGGUAAUACGUAGGUGGCAAGCGUUGUCCGGAAUUAUUGGGCGUAAAGCGCGCGCAGGUGGGUUCUUAAGUCCAUUUUGAAAGUUCGGAGCUCAACUCCGUGAUGGGAUGGAAACUGGGAUUCUUGAGUACCGGAGAGGAAAGCGGAAUUCCCCGUGUAGCGGUGAAAUGCGUAGAUAUGGGGAGGAACACCAGUGGCGAAGGCGGCUUUCUGGACGGUGUCUGACACUGAGGCGCGAAAGCUAGGGGAGCGAACGGGAUUAGAUACCCUGGUAGUCC